Coturnix japonica (Japanese quail) is the source of this 1874-nucleotide long non-coding RNA. NCBI's taxonomy places the organism in Eukaryota, Metazoa, Chordata, Aves, Galliformes, Phasianidae. The record is from Ensembl.
GGCUAUGGGGAUUUUAUGGCGGGUUCUAUGGGGGGUCUAAUGGGGUUUCUAUGGGGUUCUCUGUGGGGUAUCUCUGGGGCUUAUAGGGUCUCUAAUGGGGAUCUAGGGGUCCUAUGGGGGUUAUGGGCUAAAUAUGGGUAAUCGUAUGGUGUCUAUGGGGGUCUAUGGGGUCUAGUGUGGUCUCUAUGUGGAUCUAUGGUUGUCUAAGGGUUAUAUGGGGUCUAUGGGUUCUCUGGAGUCUAUGGGAUUCUAUGUAACUGCAGCAAGGAGCAUUGCAGCAUCCUCUGCUUGCAGCCAUAAGGAGCAUUGCAGCAUCCUCUGCUUGCAGCCAUAACUGCAGCAAGGAGCAUUGCAGCAUCCUCUGCUUGCAGCCAGAACUGCAGCAAGGAGCAUUGCAGCAUCGUCUGCUUGCAGCCAUAACUGCAGCAAGGAGCAUUGCAGCAUCCUCUGCUUGCAGACAACAAGGAGCAUUGCAGCAUCCUCUGCUUGCAGCCAUAACUGCAGCAAGGAGCAUUGCAGCAUCGUCUGCUUGCAGCCAUAACUGCAGCAUGGAGCAUUGCAGCAUCCUCUGCUUGCAGCCAUAACUGCAGCAAGGAGCAUUGCAGCAUCCUCUGCUUGCAGCCAUAACUGCAGCAAGGAGCAUUGCAGCAUCCUCUGCUUGCAGCCAUCCUUUAGUGCAGUCUAUGGGGUCUAUGGGGGGGUAAUGGGGUCUAUGGGGUCUCUAUCGGGAUCUAUGAGGUCUCUACGGGGAUCUAUGGGGUCUAUGGGGGUCUAUGGGGUCUGUGGGGCUCUAUGAGGAUCUAUGAGGUCUCUAAGGGCAUCUAUGGAGUCUAUGGGGUCUAUGGGAUCUAUGGGGUCUAUGGGAUCUAUGGGGGUCUAUGGGGAUCUGUGGGGUCUAUGGGGUCUCUAUGGGGAUCUAUGCGAUCUCUAUGGGGAUCUAUGGUGUCUAUGGGGGUCUAAUGGGGUCUAUGGGGAUCUAUGGGGAUCUGUGGGGUCUAUGGGGAUCUAUGCGGUCUCUAUGGGGAUCUAUGGUGUCUAUGGGGUCUCUAUGGGGGUCUAUGGGGAUCUAUAGGGGGUCUAUGAGGUAUAUGGGGGUCUAUGUGGUUUAUGUGGUCUAUGAGGGUCUAUGGGGGGGUAAGGGGGUCUAUGGGGGCCUGUGGGGGUCUAUGGGGUCUGUGGGGUCUAUGGGGAUCUAUGGGGUCUAUGGGGGUCUAUGGGGUCUGUAUGCAUCUAUGGGUUCUAUUGGUCUCUAUGGGGAUCUAUGGGGUCUCUAUGGGGAUCUAUGGAGUCUAUAUGGGUAUCUAUGGUGUCCAUGGAGUCUAUGGGGUCUCUAUGUGGAUCUAUGGGGUCUAUGGGGUCUAUGGGUUAUAUGGGGUCUCUAUGGGGUCUCUAUGNNNNNNNNNNNNNNNNNNNNNNNNNUCUAUGGUGUCUAUGGGUUAUAUGGGGGUCUAUGGGGUCUAUGGGGAUCUAUGGGGGUCUCUAUGGGGGUCUAUGGGGUCUAUGGGGGUCUCUGUGGGGUCUCUAUGGGGAUCUAUAGGGUCUCUAUGUGGAUCUAUGGGGUCUCUAUGGGGGUCUAUGGAGUCUAUAUGGGUAUCUAUGGUGUCUAUGGGGGUCUAUGGAGUCUAUGGGGUCUCUAUGUGGAUCUAUGGGGUCUAUGGGUUAUAUGGGGGUCUAUGGGUCUCUAUGGAGUCUAUGGGAUCUCUAUGGGGAUCUAUGGGGUCUCUAUGGGGCUCUAUGGAGUCUAUAUGGGUAUCUAUGGUGUCUAUGGAGUCUAUGGGGUCUCUAUGUGGAUCUAUGGGGUCUAUGGGUUAUAUGGGGAUCUAUGGGGUCUAUGGGGGUCUAUGGUGUCUAUGGGGGUCAAUGGAGUCUAUGGG